CCUCCUUCCAUCCCUCCCUCCCUUUCCUACUGCCGCCCGCCCUCCCGCAGGAAUCCCAGGCGGGCGGCGCGGCACGGCAGUAGCCGGGACGCGCGGCUCCCCUUGGCUGCGCGGCGGCGGGAGGGAAGGAGGGAGAGAGCCGCGCUGGUGAGGAGGAGCCGCCGCCUCAUUCUGCGGCACCGGCCGGCGGCGUGAGGAACGCGGCGAGCGCAGGUGGCAGUGUAGAAGCCAAGAACAAAAUUUGGCAGAAAUUAUGUUCUGUGUGUAAGAAAAUGAAGAGUGUACUCCUGACUAAGCACAGGAACCUGGAAAACCACAGGAUUGCUGGGAAGCCAUGGAGGAUGGAACAGACUCAGAGCUGGAGCUUGAGGAUUUUUUUGGAAGUGAUGAGUGGGAAGUUGUCCUGGUUUUAGUCAGGUGAUCGCUGAUGACUAGUCAGCCCACCAAGAAGGGACUUCAGCACACAGGUAAGAGUGAAGCUGCAUACUCUUCCAUGCAACUGCGGGGUUCAAGGGGGGAGGUAAACAGCCCUAACAUUGUUUGAAUAGUUAAAAAAAAAUGCCUCACUUGCUUGGGUGUGUAACACUGUGAUUGUCUCUAAUGCGUCUACUUCUGCUAUUCAGUCUUGUUCUUGUAUUUUUUUACUCUUUUUUUAAAUCUGUCUUUAAUUAGAAGCUUUAUUGGAAAAAAAAAAAAAAAAGACCAAUUGUGUGUUGCUAAAUAUAGUCCCGGGUAUUGCAUGAAUGUUGCAUUUUGUUACUUUUUGAAUAAAAUAACUUUCCAUAA
Long non-coding RNA from Strigops habroptila (Kakapo), 786 nucleotides. RefSeq lists it as uncharacterized. The transcript has 4 exons. The record is from RefSeq and is a predicted model, not a curated record. Lineage: Eukaryota; Metazoa; Chordata; Aves; Psittaciformes; Psittacidae.